ACAGCAGCAGCCGCGGGAAUACGUAGGUGGCGAGCGUUGUCCGGAAUUAUUGGGCGUAAAGGGAGCGCAGGCGGGCGAGUAAGUCUUUCUUAAAAGUGCGGGGCUCAACCCCGUGAGGGGAUGGAAACUGUAAGCCUUGAGUGCAGGAGAGGAAAGCGGAAUUCCCAGUGUAGCGGUGAAAUGCGUAGAUAUUGGGAGGAACACCAGUGGCGAAGGCGGCUUUCUGGACUGUAACUGACGCUGAGGCCCGAAAGCCAGGGGAGCGAACGGGAUUAGAUACCCCCGUAGUCCCUGUCUCUUAUACA
This 305-nucleotide ribosomal RNA is filed under the name uncultured bacterium. RNAcentral's name for it is "partial 16S ribosomal RNA". It matches the Rfam family "Bacterial small subunit ribosomal RNA", at positions 505 to 809 of the family's 1533-position model. The record is from RNAcentral.